UACAGAGGGUGCGAGCGUUAAUCGGAAUUACUGGGCGUAAAGCGCGCGUAGGCGGCUUUGUAAGUCGGUUGUGAAAUCCCCGGGCUUAACCUGGGAACUGCAUUUGUGACUGCACGGCUAGAGUGUGUCAGAGGGGGGUAGAAUUCCACGUGUAGCAGUGAAAUGCGUAGAUAUGACAUAGAACACCAAUUGCGAAGGCAGCUUACUACCCGAAUAUUGACACUGAGGCACGAAAGCGUGGGGAUCAAACAGG
Molecule: ribosomal RNA, 253 nt
Filed under: uncultured bacterium
Lineage: Bacteria
Description: partial 16S ribosomal RNA
Rfam family: Bacterial small subunit ribosomal RNA
Source: RNAcentral